This is a long non-coding RNA of Aegilops tauschii subsp. strangulata, 1066 nucleotides long. RefSeq lists it as uncharacterized. The record is from RefSeq and is a predicted model, not a curated record. NCBI's taxonomy places the organism in Eukaryota, Viridiplantae, Streptophyta, Magnoliopsida, Poales, Poaceae.
UCCUGAUCCAGACCCCCCCACGCAACCAUCGCCACACAUGGCUCCAACAUGCGGCCACGCCGGCCUUCAACUGUUCUCCUCCGUCGGCGAGCAGCCACGGCUGUCCUCCGCCGAGCCGCCCUCUCCCCCGACCUCCAACCGCCAGCACGGCCCGCCUCCAAUCACCGGAUCCCGCCACACCGCGGCCCCGCCCCACCGCCAAUGCCGGGAUCUCGCUGCCACAACCAACACAACCCCCACGCAUCGUCGGGGAACCCCACACCUCCACCACAGCAGGGAUCUUGCCGUCGCGAGCCCCACACUCCCGCACCGGUGAUGCGGCACCGCGAGACCUAGAUCAGACCGUCGUGCCUCAUCCAGCCACUACACUGGCUCGACACCUGGAUCCGGCCGCUGCCCCACCCCUGCACCCAGAUCCAGGUCCCCGACCGUCGGUUGCCGCCGCCACACCAGGCCCUUCCCCCUCCAUGCUUCUUAUCCCGGUGCCUGGGAGGAACCCCCACUACCGAGCCCCUUGGCAAGCCGGUUAGCACUCCCUCCCUCUCCCUACGACCGUCUAGCUCCAGCCAUAUGAACUUCCUCCGACAACACUCCCCUACAGUGUGAUUUUCACUGCCAUGCAUCGAUGAGUAGCCAAGGUGCUUCUCCUUCUCGCCUAGCAGUUUAGAGUAUUUAUAUAGAAGAAGAAAAAAUGGCACCUGCACCGGAGCAGCAGGACGGCUCCAGCGACCAAGGGCCUCCCUCUGCCAUCUCUUAAGUGAUUUUUUAUGUCUGAAGUUCAGCUAUACCUGCAGGUGCAAAAAAUAGGUGUGUUGGUCCAUUUGUUUUAGUUUGACAAGUCGGUUUUCUUCCAAGUUUAUCUCCAAAAUCCAUCGACGUCGUGGAGUUCUAAUCCUUUAGUUUCUGUGAAGAAGAAGAACGACAGCGGCAUAUUUCUCUGAACUUCCCAUUUGGCCACAACUAGACCCCAAGAAAAGUGCAUGUAUAGGGUACUGUUACAACCAAAAUAUGAUGUAAAAUGCAGAGACGAAAAAAGUGAAUAUAUUGAGUAGUUUCUUUUAUUUUC